GACGAACGCUGGCGGCGUGCCUAAUACAUGCAAGUAGAACGCUGAAGCUUGGUGCUUGCACCGAGCGGAUGAGUUGCGAACGGGUGAGUAACGCGUAGGUAACCUGCCUGGUAGCGGGGGAUAACUAUUGGAAACGAUAGCUAAUACCGCAUAAUAGUAGAUGUUGCAUGACAUUUGCUUAAAAGGUGCAAUUGCAUCACUACCAGAUGGACCUGCGUUGUAUUAGCUAGUUGGUGAGGUAACGGCUCACCAAGGCAACGAUACAUAGCCGACCUGAGAGGGUGAUCGGCCACACUGGGACUGAGACACGGCCCAGACUCCUACGGGAGGCAGCAGUAGGGAAUCUUCGGCAAUGGACGGAAGUCUGACCGAGCAACGCCGCGUGAGUGAAGAAGGGUUUCGGAUCGUAAAGCUCUGUUGUAAGAGAAGAACGAGUGUGAGAGUGGAAAGUUCACACUGUGACGGUAGCUUACCAGAAAGGGACGGCUAACUACGUG
RNAcentral lists this ribosomal RNA (497 nucleotides) under uncultured bacterium. RNAcentral describes it as "partial 16S ribosomal RNA". It matches the Rfam family "Bacterial small subunit ribosomal RNA", at positions 28 to 507 of the family's 1533-position model. The record is from RNAcentral.